This 76-nucleotide transfer RNA is filed under the name Cordylochernes scorpioides. RNAcentral describes it as "tRNA-Thr". It matches the Rfam family "tRNA". From Rfam's summary of the family: Transfer RNA (tRNA) molecules are approximately 80 nucleotides in length. Their secondary structure includes four short double-helical elements and three loops (D, anti-codon, and T loops). Further hydrogen bonds mediate the characteristic L-shaped molecular structure. tRNAs have two regions of fundamental functional importance: the anti-codon, which is responsible for specific mRNA codon recognition, and the 3' end, to which the tRNAs corresponding amino acid is attached (by aminoacyl-tRNA synthetases). tRNAs cope with the degeneracy of the genetic code in two manners: having more than one tRNA (with a specific anti-codon) for a particular amino acid; and 'wobble' base-pairing, i.e. permitting non-standard base-pairing at the 3rd anti-codon position. Lineage: Eukaryota; Metazoa; Arthropoda; Arachnida; Pseudoscorpiones; Chernetidae. The record is from RNAcentral.
GGUCAUGUGACCUAGUGGUCAUGGCAUCUGCCCGGUAAGCGGAAGGUCGUGGGUUCGAUUUCCAUCCCUUGACACU